GGGCCUGUAGAUUAGUGGAAGAUCAUUUAUUUAUAAUCAAGAGGUCACGGGUUCAAUUCCCGUCAGGUCCA
Molecule: transfer RNA, 71 nt
Filed under: archaeon
Lineage: Archaea
Description: tRNA-Ile
Rfam family: tRNA
About the family: Transfer RNA (tRNA) molecules are approximately 80 nucleotides in length. Their secondary structure includes four short double-helical elements and three loops (D, anti-codon, and T loops).
Source: RNAcentral